RNAcentral lists this transfer RNA (87 nucleotides) under Neiella litorisoli. Its description in RNAcentral is "tRNA-Leu". It matches the Rfam family "tRNA". From Rfam's summary of the family: Transfer RNA (tRNA) molecules are approximately 80 nucleotides in length. The record is from RNAcentral. Lineage: Bacteria; Pseudomonadati; Pseudomonadota; Gammaproteobacteria; Alteromonadales; Echinimonadaceae.
GCAGGAGUGGCGGAAUUGGUAGACGCGCUAGCUUCAGGUGCUAGUGUCCGUUAGGACGUGGGAGUUCAAGUCUCCCCUUCUGCACCA